This is a long non-coding RNA of Mastacembelus armatus (zig-zag eel), 2163 nucleotides long. Lineage: Eukaryota; Metazoa; Chordata; Actinopteri; Synbranchiformes; Mastacembelidae. The record is from Ensembl.
ACUCAGUUUUGUUUAAGUGAAUGUUAAACGUGUCCUAAAGUGCAACAUCCAGUUGUACUUAAGCACAUCAGCAAAACUAAACCUUUGUUUUGUUGUUUCUUUUAGAGGAAACCUCCAGACAAAAAGCUCCUGCUGACACUGACCUCAGUCAUGACAAGACCAAACCCUUUAGCAGGUCUGUGGCGGUCUUUGACCUGGAAGCCUGAGGGUCUUGCGCAGUAUCUUAACUGUUCCUGGGACUGCACUCUUCUGGGCAGAGAUCUCAGAUGUUGUUCCUGGUGCCACUCUCCCAGUUCAGAGGUCACAGCCCCAAGAGUCCUGAAUACCACAGGGACCACUGUUGCCUUCACAUUUCACAUCUUUUCUAUGUUGCAGCAAUUUUUCCAUAAAGGACAAAUGUUUCUACUCACUGUGAUUCACACACUCAGUGUGUUCCCUGUGGAGUUACUGACCUCUAUAAGCACUGUAGAGCAGAUCUUUUUAAGUGGGACACUGUCUUGUCAACAUGCACAAGGACACACAUACACAUGGGUGAUACACAUUACAGCCAUGUACCAGCAUAAGCAGGGAAGAAGACAUCUCACCUGGAUGUAAACAAUUCAGCCUUAAAAUACUCAGCUGGUGGACACACGCUAAACCUGCAUGUUUUUGAAACUGGAGUGUUCCUUUGACACGAUCAUCUGAACAGGAACUGGUGAAUGGGUAAAGCUUCUCAGUGAAGGAGCAGUCAGCUUUAAUAUUCAUGUCAUAACAAGAGAACAGACUCUCCUCAUAAUCUACAAAUACCACAAGCUCCUCAGGGUUUAAGUCCAACAGAGACAGACUGAUUUGUCCUGUGGCCCCUCCAAGCAAACAGUACAGUCCAUUCACUAUUUUGUGGCUGCAAUCAAAAGCUUUGCUGUCAUAGUUUAUUAUUUCCUGUUUGGACUUUUAUUUUCUUAACAUUUAGGUUUUGAUUGGUCCACAGAUUCACAAUAGGAAGCUUUGAAUCCCAAUUACCUUAUUUUAUCUUUCCUAAGAUCUCGGUCAACCCAGAACUCGUUCUGGUCCACCAUGAUGAAGGAGGUCCCAAAACUCUUAUCUCUGCCCUGAGGAGCGAGGAGGCUUCCUGGAGGAGCCAUAACCGAGGACACAUCCUUCAUGGAAGUCUGUUACAGUUUUAAACACCCCUUUAUCGUAAAUCAGUGUGUGACUUGACUCUUCACUGUGAGGACUGGAGGAAAGCACAUCUCAUGUCUAUAAAAACAUGUGUCCUUGAGUCCUCUGUCCUUACUCCUUGCAUCUUAAGUAGGUGAGACCAAGAUACAAGUGAGAGAAACAUUGAUGCAAUUGGUGGAACUGGGAGUCACCAAUAAGAUUAAGACUUAAUACAGGUGGACCUGUACUAGGACAGUCAGAAAAACAUACUCACCUGUUUCCCCUUCAGGUUGUAUUGAGGUCAGCUCCCAGUAUCCACCCACUGUCAGACCUGCUGUUGUCCUCACUGGUCCCUCAUGGUCUUUGUGUUCCUGGUUGUGUGCAAAUCAUUUUUCUUUUUUAAAAUAAAUCAAACUUACCUUUUGCCUGCAUUGCUCUCCCGCAAUUGGGUCCAGAGGUUUAAGAAGGCGCUAAAGACAUCAGGUGUGUCCUGCGUCACUAUCUGCACUUUCCAUUUUCCAUCAGUGUGUCUCUUAUUUAAAGUCUUAUUUUGGGAGAAGCGGGUAGGUGGUUGCUAUGCGUGUUGCUCAGAGAUGUGAUUGAUUACGACAUUUCACGCUACGGCUGCGUCUAAUGUGUAGAUCUUCUUCUUCUUGUGUUUUAUCGGUGUUUGGAAAAUGACACUAUAAUAAACCUGUUCUAUCUAAAUACAUAAAUCAACCUGUUCUAUCUAUUCAAUUCAACUCAAUUCAAUUUAUUUGUAUAGCUCCAAAUCACAAUACAAAUCAUCUCAAGGCACUUUAUAAACAAAAACCCAACAAUUCCCUUAUGAGCAGCACUUGGCGACAGUGGAGAGGAAAAACUCCCUUUAACGGAAGAAAAAACCUCCAGCAGAACCAGGCUCAGUUUGGGCGGCCAUCUGCCUCGACCGGUUGGGGUGAGUGGAUAGAGCAGAGAGAAAAGAACAGCAACAAUAAACAACAAAUAGACACUGCAGGUUGGUGGGACCAGUAACUGCACAUCAGC